AGAGUUUGAUCCUGGCUCAGGAUGAACGCUGGCGGCGUGCCUAAUACAUGCAAGUCGAGCGAACGGAGAGAAGCUUGCUUCUCAAAGUUAGCGGCGGACGGGUGAGUAACACGUGGGCAACCUACCUUGUAGAUGGGGAUAACAUCGAGAAAUCGGUGCUAAUACCGAAUAACAAUAUUCUUCGCAUGAAGGAAAUUUGA
RNAcentral lists this ribosomal RNA (200 nucleotides) under uncultured bacterium. RNAcentral's name for it is "partial 16S ribosomal RNA". It matches the Rfam family "Bacterial small subunit ribosomal RNA", at positions 8 to 204 of the family's 1533-position model. The record is from RNAcentral.